GAUUCCCUUCUUCCAUAUCAUGAUAAAGAGAGUACACGUUCAAGCUUUGUUACAUAGAAAUAGCCGUCACUUUCCCCACGUGUCGGCACCGUCCACCGACCCGGCGGGUCGGCGGACCGGUCCUUGAUUGUGCAACCACUUUGUAUAUAACGCACAGGCACUGGCGAAUCAGAAUCAGAACCACAGUUGCAAUACAAGUCUCGGCCCGCUCAGUCGUCUCUCCUUCCGCGCCUCCGCGACAAUGGUGGCAGCGGUGGUCGAGGGGACUUGUGCCCCUCACCACGGACCCCAGCCUCUACAUCUGCACUGACAUCGCAGACUGGUUAGUCCGUGCUCCGUGACGGUGUAUCGCCCCUACGUCACGUCAUCGACUAGGGAGCUGACCAUCCUGGACUCGUCAUCGUCCAGCAGCACCGUCUCCAGUGAGUAGCUCUGCCCAGCAAGACUAUCUGCCCUGCGGCAAGGUCAUCAGCUACCCUGGACUACUACGGAGCCCGCCGACAGCGCACGGCUCAUCAGCCCGCGCCGUCCUCCUCAGCAUCAUCGAGUGAUGGACACCACCUCGCUGAAGGACUCAAGAUCGGAGGAGAGAAGAGAAGAAAAAAAAAAUAUCAACGCUAAAUUCAAGAGAAAUUGGCACCGAAAUCAAGAAAAUUCACCCAUUAUGAACUUUUGCUGUAUUUUCGUCAAAAAGUGACAGUGAAAUUGUGCUGUGAAAUUUGUUUUAACUUCGAUGUGUUUUAAAAACCGUACUGUUUCAUUAUCCGUUUUCGUCAGUGUUCUGUCGUUUGUUGUGCUUCAUUGUGGUUGCUCACCCCAAAAUUUACGGAGAAAUUGCAAAUGCGCUUAAUUUUUACCUGCAUUUUGCAGUGUCACUUUGACACUUAUAAGCAUAAAAAGAGCAUAUUCUGAAGUCGGUAUGAACAUUCAAAUACGUUAAUCGUGGUCAAUUCACUGAAAUUAUAUUG
Molecule: long non-coding RNA, 968 nt
Organism: Amphibalanus amphitrite
Lineage: Eukaryota; Metazoa; Arthropoda; Thecostraca; Balanomorpha; Balanidae
Exons: 2
Source: RefSeq, a predicted model, not a curated record